GGAGUGGUUUCUGACUUUCCCUAGAGAACAGUUUAUGAUCAUUAACUUUAAAGACUAUAAGAACGACAAAACCAAAACUUUGAACCGAAUAUUCAAAUUUUUGGAAUUAAGCACACUUACUGAAGAAGAAAUGAUAAACAGUGGAAUGAUCACAAAAAAAGCCAAAAACCGAGGUCGACAAAUUCUUCUUAGUUCACUUAACAAUUCAACUGUCAAAAUGUUACAAGAAUUCUAUAGACCUUACAACAAACUUUUACUUAAUCUGUUAAAUAGUAGUAGUUUUGAUUGGACAUGAUGAUAUCAUAUAUAGUAAAGUUUUAAUCGAGA
Long non-coding RNA from Mytilus trossulus (common blue mussel), 327 nucleotides. RefSeq lists it as uncharacterized. Lineage: Eukaryota; Metazoa; Mollusca; Bivalvia; Mytilida; Mytilidae. The transcript has 2 exons. The record is from RefSeq and is a predicted model, not a curated record.